Long non-coding RNA from Mus musculus (house mouse), 791 nucleotides. RefSeq annotates it as predicted gene, 35193. NCBI's taxonomy places the organism in Eukaryota, Metazoa, Chordata, Mammalia, Rodentia, Muridae. The record is from RefSeq and is a predicted model, not a curated record. The transcript is spliced from 3 exons.
GGAGCAUCUGCUAGUGAAUGAGUUACACUGUGUCAGCUCUCCCACUGGGUGUCCACCCCAUGCUCUGGUGUUAUUAAUGUAAACGAGAAAAGGAGACUAGCAGAGUUGUUUACUGGCCAAGUCAGUGGGUAGAUAGGUCCUUUCAGCUCACAGAUUACAAAUCCUGAUUACAAGCCCCAAAUCACCUCCAUAACUCCCUCCUUGCAGGGACAGCUAAAUGCACACCAGUCCCCAUCUGCUAGGUACCAAAGCCACUGCUCUCUGCUGGGAAGAUGCCAGGGCAAGAUAGUGCUGAGACAGAAGACUACAUCUGGCCUCUGGGAAAGACACUGAACCCUUCAUUUGAAAUCACUGAAGUCCCAGGAAGUUCUUCAGAGAGGGCUGAGGUCUCGAUUUUACAUUCAGAAACAUUGACCAACUGACAGAUGCAAAGUAAAGAAGUCAACCCAAGAUUGGCAUUUAUCCAAGCAACAAGAACCAGCAGAGUCAGCUCUUCUGUAAAUUCCCCCAACGGCCAUGAUAUCACUUUCUAGAGUAUAGACAAUGGAAGGACUCGAGUGGCUUUCUAUCAGCAGUGGAUUCAUCAAAACCUUUUAGCAGAGCGUGGAGUGCUGGGUCCAUGGUUAAGAGCACUUGCUGUUCUUCUAGAGUCCAGUUCUCAGCACCCACGCCAGGCUGCUCACUACCACCUUGGCUCCAGGUCCAGUGUCUCACACCUCCAUGGAUACCCACACACACAUGUGCCUGUACCUCCUGAGCAUACACAUACGUGAUUAAAGAUAAAAUAAACC